Molecule: unclassified non-coding RNA, 176 nt
Filed under: soil metagenome
Description: partial internal transcribed spacer 1
Source: RNAcentral
GUGUAACAAUCGGCCUAGAGCCGGUCUGUACAUGUGUGCAUUGAUGAACGUCUUCCUGGAAGGGCUGUCCUUUGUGGGGUGAGUCUACUAAAGUGUAUGCUUUUGUAGUCUUGCCAUCUUUAAGGAGGCGCGCCGGGAUAUGAUACGAAUACAGCAAGGACAAUUUUUAUUCAAUA